UACAAGGCGUUUCUCAACGCCAUCUUGUCGAACUGUCUAUAAAUGU
Perkinsus marinus ATCC 50983 is the source of this 46-nucleotide non-coding RNA. The record is from Rfam. Lineage: Eukaryota; Perkinsozoa; Perkinsida; Perkinsidae.